ACCCAGCUUGCUCUCAUUUAUGUAACAGUUUUGAAGGGUAUAUUGAGGUGAAUUAUUUCUCUUGUCAAAAUGGUCUAAUGGCUUCUGAAGUUCCUUUCCAAAAGAAUCCAGUCCACAGUAUAUAGAAACUUCCCGGAGAAAAUAAUGGAACAUCUAACAGGGGCUGCCAUUGAUGCUGAGUUGUGGAGCUGUCUUGGAUGGUCUUUCCAGGCAUGCGAGCUGUGACCCAGACAAAUUCCUCUGAGGCUGGGAGACCACCAAGAUGGGAGGCUACGAGACGAUGGUUGCUCAAGAGACUUUGUGAGGCUCGGUGGCUUCUAUCACGACGCAGC
Long non-coding RNA from Hyaena hyaena (striped hyena), 332 nucleotides. RefSeq lists it as uncharacterized. The transcript has 3 exons. The record is from RefSeq and is a predicted model, not a curated record. Lineage: Eukaryota; Metazoa; Chordata; Mammalia; Carnivora; Hyaenidae.